CGUAUAAGAAGAAAUAUAAACUAAAGAAAGACUGUCAUUCUUCCUCUGUGUUUUCUCCUGAUGAAAUACAGUUAGCUUGUAAUGAGGAUUAUAUGGACAUAAGAUCACUGCUAGCAAGAUUGUAGAAAAGAAGAGUGCAAGAAAAGAAUUCUGAGCUGAGUGAAAGAGAAGGGAGCCCCAGGACUUUACUUAAUCACAUACUCAAGUACAGGAUUUGCUUGUUUUAUUUUUUAAAUCUUAAUACAGGCUGCCAUCGGCCAAGCAGUUCCUAAAGUUACGUAUUGAUCACCUUCAAAAAGAUAUCGAUAGGAAUAGAAGAGAACUAGCUCUUUGCUGGUAUUUACUUGGUGAUACUAAUGAAGCAAUGAACUACAUGCAGCAUUACCUUGCUCAUACUGACCCUCAGUCUGUUAGCAAUGAUGCAAAAUGGACAGCAAAACUGAUAGAGAAACAACACAAUGUCUUACAAGGUCAAGAGAAAUUAUUAUUGGCUUUAAAAGAAAGGCACUUAACACGUUAUGAAUUACCACCAACAAAUAAGGUUGAGAGAAGAGAUGCCUCUGAUCUCAGUGUUAAUGAG
Amphimedon queenslandica is the source of this 580-nucleotide long non-coding RNA. RefSeq lists it as uncharacterized. The transcript has 3 exons. NCBI's taxonomy places the organism in Eukaryota, Metazoa, Porifera, Demospongiae, Haplosclerida, Niphatidae. The record is from RefSeq and is a predicted model, not a curated record.